UACGGGGGGUGCAAGCGUUGCUCGGAAUUACUGGGCGUAAAGCGCACGCAGGCGGCACGUCAGGUCGGGUGUGAAAGCCCAGGGCUCAACCCUGGAACUGCACUCGAAACCGGCGAGCUAGAGUUCGAGAGAGGGUGGUGGAAUUCCUGGUGUAGAGGUGAAAUUCGUUGAUAUCAGGAGGAACACCGGCGGCGAAGGCGGCCACCUGGCUCGAUACUGACGCUCAUGUGCGAAAGCGUGGGGAGCAAACAGG
RNAcentral lists this ribosomal RNA (253 nucleotides) under uncultured bacterium. Its description in RNAcentral is "partial 16S ribosomal RNA". It matches the Rfam family "Bacterial small subunit ribosomal RNA", at positions 524 to 776 of the family's 1533-position model. The record is from RNAcentral.